RNAcentral lists this non-coding RNA (30 nucleotides) under Mus musculus (house mouse). The record is from RNAcentral. Lineage: Eukaryota; Metazoa; Chordata; Mammalia; Rodentia; Muridae.
UGGAAUUCAUAGCCACUAUGCCUCAAGAUC